This 465-nucleotide ribosomal RNA is filed under the name uncultured bacterium. Its description in RNAcentral is "partial 16S ribosomal RNA". It matches the Rfam family "Bacterial small subunit ribosomal RNA", at positions 338 to 795 of the family's 1533-position model. The record is from RNAcentral.
CCUACGGGGGGCAGCAGUGGGGAAUUUUGCGCAAUGCUCGUAAGAGUGACGCAGCGACGCCGCGUGAAUGACGAAGGCCUUCGGGUCGUAAAGUUCUUUCGACAGGGAAGAAAAUGCCUAUAAGUAACUGUGUAGGUAUUGACGGUCCCUGUAUAAGCAGCCCCGGCUCACUCCGUGCCAGCAGCCGCGGUAGUACGGCGGGGGCGAGCGUUGUUCGGGGUGGCUGGGCGUAAAGAGUGCGUAGGCGGUGUUGUAAGUCAUUAGUCAAAGACUCGAGCUAAACUUUAGUAAGGCUAGUGAGACUAGAAUACUAGAGUAUAAGAGAGGAUGGCAGAAUUCCUGGUGUAGCGGUGAAAUGCGUAGAUAUCAGGAGGAAUACCGUUAGCGAAGGCGGCAAUCUGGCUGGAAACUGACGCUGAGGUGCGAAAGCGUGGGUAGCAAACAGGAUUAGAUACCCGAGUAGUC